This 253-nucleotide ribosomal RNA is filed under the name uncultured bacterium. RNAcentral's name for it is "partial 16S ribosomal RNA". It matches the Rfam family "Bacterial small subunit ribosomal RNA", at positions 524 to 776 of the family's 1533-position model. The record is from RNAcentral.
UACGUAGGGUGCGAGCGUUAAUCGGAAUUACUGGGCGUAAAGCGUGCGCAGGCGGUUCGUUAAGUCAGAUGUGAAAGCCCCGGGCUCAACCUGGGAACUGCAUUUGAAACUGGCGGGCUUGAGUAUGGCAGAGGGGGGUGGAAUUCCGCGUGUAGCAGUGAAAUGCGUAGAUAUUCGGAAGAACACCAGUGGCGAAGGCGGCUCACUGGUCCGGUACUGACGCUGAGGUGCGAAAGCGUGGGGAGCAAACAGG